RNAcentral lists this ribosomal RNA (279 nucleotides) under uncultured bacterium. RNAcentral describes it as "partial 16S ribosomal RNA". It matches the Rfam family "Bacterial small subunit ribosomal RNA", at positions 506 to 784 of the family's 1533-position model. The record is from RNAcentral.
UGCCAGCAGCCGCGGUAAUACGGAGGGAGCGAGCGUUGUUCGGAAUUACUGGGCGUAAAGCGCACGUAGGCGGAUUAGUAAGUUAGGGGUGAAAUCCCGGGGCUCAACCCCGGAACUGCCUCUAAUACUGCUAGUCUUGAGUUCGAGAGAGGUGAGUGGAAUUCCGAGUGUAGAGGUGGAAUGCGUAGAUAUUAGGAGGAACACCAGUGGCGAAGGCGGCUCUCUGGUUCGAUACUGACACUAAGGCACGAAAGCGUGGGGAGCGAACAGGAUUAGAUA